CGCGGACAUGCUCUCAGUUCAUUGCAUAUUAUUUGUAUUGCACUUCGGUUUUUUGCAAACGGGAGCUUUCUGUAUAAUAUUGGUGACGCUGAGCACGUUUCCAAGGCUACCGUCUGUCGGGCAGUCAGGAAUGUUACAGUUGCACUGAAACAUCUCCUGCACUCGUCUGUGGUGUUCCCCGGUCAUAGACCCACAAGAUUUAUCAAAGAGGGAUGCCACAAAAUUGCAGGUAUCAGGAUGACCAAAACGUAAUGUAUGAUGUGGUGAUACCUGGACUACUACUUAAAUUCUACAUUUAUUUUCAGGGUUCCCAGGCGUGUAUAGAUGGCACUCACAUUCCAAUCAUUGCUCCUUCAGUAAAUGAAGGAGACUAUGUGAACAGGAAGUCUUUCCACAGCAUUAAUGUACAGAUCAUAUGUGAUGCUGCCAACAUUAUCACAAAUGUGGAAGCCAAGCGGCCAGGCUCUGUCCAUGACUCACAAAUAUUCCGUGAAUGUACACUGAGCACAAAAUUUGGACAUGGACAAGAGCCAGAGUUGAAAUGACUAUCGGAAUGCUUAAGGCCCGGUUCCAGUGCCUGCAAAGACUCAGGGUCACCCCAGAAAGGGCAUGUGACAUUAUUGUGGC
Molecule: long non-coding RNA, 627 nt
Organism: Astatotilapia calliptera (eastern happy)
Lineage: Eukaryota; Metazoa; Chordata; Actinopteri; Cichliformes; Cichlidae
Source: Ensembl